This 74-nucleotide transfer RNA is filed under the name Rufibacter glacialis. RNAcentral describes it as "tRNA-Gly". The record is from RNAcentral. Lineage: Bacteria; Pseudomonadati; Bacteroidota; Cytophagia; Cytophagales; Hymenobacteraceae.
AUUGCGCCUGGGCCACGGCCAAAGCCGCCUGGUUCUGCCGAAGCCGGUCAGAGAGUUCCAGACGUUGGGUGGUG